Molecule: ribosomal RNA, 253 nt
Filed under: uncultured bacterium
Lineage: Bacteria
Description: partial 16S ribosomal RNA
Rfam family: Bacterial small subunit ribosomal RNA
Source: RNAcentral
UACGUAGGAUGCAAGCGUUGUCCGGAAUUACUGGGCGGAAAGGGCGAGCAGGUGGCACUACAAGUCUGAUGUAAAAUCUCCCGGCUUAACUGGGAGGGGCCAUUGGAAACUGUAGAGCUGGAGUGCAGGAGAGGCUAACGGAAUUCCCGGUGUAGUGGUGAAAUGCGUAGAUAUCGGGAGGGACACCAGUGGCGAAGGCGGUUAGCUGGCCUGUAACUGACACUGAGGCGCGAAGGCUAGGGGAGCGAACAGG